GAUGAAGAACGUAGCGAAAUGCGAUACGUAAUGUGAAUUGCAGAAUUCAGUGAAUCAUCGAAUCUUUGAACGCAUAUUGCGCUCUUUGGUAUUCCGAAGAGCAUGCUUGUUUGAGUAUCAGUAAACACCUCAACCUCUUCUUGAUUUUUCAAAAGGAGGGUGGACUUGAGCUAUCCCAACAACCUUUACCGGUCGGCGGGCGGCUUGAAAUGCAGGUGCAGCUGGACUUUUAUCUGAGCUAAAAGCAUAUCUAUUUAGUCCUCGUCAAACAGGAUUAUUACUUUUGCUGCAGCUAACAUAAAGGAUAAUUGUCCUCUUUGCUGACUGAUGCAGGAUUUUACGACACUUUAUGUGUUGUUCAACUCGAUCUCAUAUCAAGUAAGACUACCCGCUGAACUUAAGCAUAUCAAUAAGCGGAGGA
RNAcentral lists this unclassified non-coding RNA (421 nucleotides) under soil metagenome. Its description in RNAcentral is "partial contains 5.8S ribosomal RNA, internal transcribed spacer 2, and large subunit ribosomal RNA". The stretch from base 1 to 120 matches the Rfam family "5.8S ribosomal RNA", at positions 35 to 154 of the family's 154-position model. The record is from RNAcentral.